CAAAGCGGUUCAGAACUGAAACGUGGCCGCGCUCGGUGCGUGAGACGCUUGGGGCGAGGGUAGGAGCCGGCUCUGUGGUGUCCCACAAUGCUUCGCGCCCGCCUCGCCUCCUCUGUCUCCCACAAUGCCCUGCGGCUCUCGCUUGUCUCAGCUGGAGUGUUUUUAUCAGAACACCUUGAGGGGGUCCACGCGUUACCUGUGCCUGUUAUCUGUGGCACCAACGCAGGGGAAUCUGCCUCACAUAUGGAGUUUAAGAACUCAGGGUUCAGCUUUGGCAUAGAAGAACGCUGGCAGACUUCCGAGGCCACAUGGUGGUGAGUGGGUGAUGCGUUUUCCAGCUCUGAAAUUGCCAGUACCUAAAGGAGUGAUCUGACCACUCAAAGCCACUGCUGCUGAGGAAGCCCAGCCUCCCCACGUGGACCCACCACAUAGGCAGACCCCAGAGCAUCAAUUUCUUGAAAUCUUUGUGUUCAAGAUCUUCUAUUCAUGGGCAGCCUUAUAGGCUCGACUGAAAGGCUCAGCCUCGCAUGCAGACCAGACCCCAGGUUCUCCAGCGGAUUCACCAGUGUGUCGUGGGACUGCUGAGGAGGGCAGCCCCACUUCCAGUGAGCCAACCUGCAUCUCCCCUGCCCUUCCUAAAACCACGAGGUCAUUUCUCAACGAGAAAACCCGAGGCUCCAAGAGGAUGGCUGUGCUCAAGGCCAGCUAGUCAAGGAACAGCCGAAACAAAGAGUUCUUCACAGGGCUGGGGGAUCAAACCCAGGACCUUCUGCAUGAGAGGCAUAUGUUCUACUGGCAAGCCGUGUUCCUAGCUAUGAAAUGUACUUUCAAUUUACAUGUAAAUCUUGUAUUUCACACAUAAAUCCAGA
Long non-coding RNA from Psammomys obesus (fat sand rat), 869 nucleotides. RefSeq lists it as uncharacterized. The record is from RefSeq and is a predicted model, not a curated record. NCBI's taxonomy places the organism in Eukaryota, Metazoa, Chordata, Mammalia, Rodentia, Muridae. The transcript has 4 exons.